This 1484-nucleotide ribosomal RNA is filed under the name metagenome. Its description in RNAcentral is "SSU rRNA". It matches the Rfam family "Eukaryotic small subunit ribosomal RNA", at positions 279 to 1801 of the family's 1831-position model. The record is from RNAcentral.
AAAGGAGAAGGCUGUCCAGGGAGAGAUUUUCAUUCAUCAGCUUUCGAUGUAAGGUUAGGGUCCUUACAUGGCGUUUACGAAUGACGGAAAUUGGGUGAUUGACUCCGGAGAAGGAGCCUGAGAGAUAGCUACUACAUCUAAGGAAGGCAGCAGGCGCGCAAAUUUCCCAAUGCUCAAAGAGCGAGGAAGUGACACUGAUUAUUAAUGUUUUUGUCUAAGACUUAAACAAUUGGAAUGAGAACGAUUUAAAACUCCUAUCGAGGAUCUAUUAGAGGGCAAGUCUGGUGCCAGCAGCCGCGGUAAUUCCAGCUCUAAGAGGGUAUAUCAAAAUUGUUGCAGUUGAAACGCUCGUAGUCGAAUUUCGUUUCCGUUGAUUUGGAUUUUGUGCUUGGAGAAAUCCUUCACAUGCCAAAGGCGGGAAUUUUUGUGUAAUUUUUCAUUAAAUUACACUCAGUUACUGAGAGCAAAUUGGAUUGUUUAAAGAAGGCCUUAUAGCUUUGAACAUUUUAGCUUGGAAUGACAACUAAUAACUCGGGUUAUUUUGUUGGUUAAAUAACAAAGAGUGAUGAUUAAUAGAAACGGUUGCGGGGGUACUUGUAUUUGUCGGUCAGAGGUGAAAUUCUUGGAUUCGACAACGACAAACGACUGCGAAAGCAUUUACCAAGGAUGUUUUCAUUGAUCAAGAACGAAAGAAUGAGGAUCGAAGAUGAUUAGAUACCAUCGUAGUUCAUUCCAUAAUCGAUGCCGACUCGGGGUUUGCUUUUUAAUUCUUUUAUCGAAUGAAGCAAGUACCGUAUGAGAAAUCACAAGUCUUUGGGUUCCGGGGGGAGUACGAUCGCAAGAUUGAAACUUUAAGGAAUUGACGGAAGUUCACACCAGAGGUGGAGCCUGCGGUUUAAUUUGACCCAACACGGGAAAACUUACCAGGUCCAGAUAUGAGGAGGAUUGACAGUUUGAAAGCACUUUCUUGAUUUCAUAGUUGGUGGUGCAUGGCCGUUCUUAGUUGGUGGAGUGAUUUGUCUGGUUGAUUCCGAUAACGAACGAGACGAGCGUAUUUUGCUGGUUGCUUUGUUUCUCACGAAACUCACAACCUCCCAAAUAGACAACUCAUUUCUAAUGAGAGGAAGCCGCUCGCAAUAACAGGUCUGUGAUGCCCUUAGAUGUUCUGGGCCACACGCGCGCUACACUGAUUGGUUCAAUGAGUUAUUUUUUCCUUGCCCGGAAGGGUGUGGGUAAUCUUUUCAAUACCAAUCGUGAUGGGGCUUGAACAUUGUAAUUAUUGUUCAUCAACGAGGAAUCUCUAGUAAGUAGAAGUCAUUAGCUUCUGCUGAAUGCGUCCCUGGACUUUGUACACACCGCCCGUCGCACCUACCGAUGAACUUUAUCUUUAGGCGUUUGGAGGCUGUUUUUUCGCUCUCGGGCAAUUUACGGCUGAAAUUCUCCGAAAGUUGAAAUUUAGAGGAAGGUGAAGUCGUAACAAGGUU